AGAGAACUCCUUGCGUGAGGACACGUAGUGAACGACCUUCUCCCGUCUUUCUCCGUUUCACUACGCACAUCUCCGGCUUUCGGCAAACCGAACGAAGAACAAAAACAAUAACACAACUUCGGAAAACACAGGGGCAAGUUCUGUACGCUGAUCGAUCUUUUGUACUCUAAAAUUCUUGAAUAAUCUUGCAAAUGGUGAAGCUAGCGUCGGCACGAGAGAACAGAAUGUACGGAACAAUGCUGGGUGGAAACAGAGCAAAAUACAUAAACACAGGGCUUUAUGUGUUUGCUACCAUUGUUCUUAUAGGUGGGUUUGCGGCCUUGUUCUCAAUGGAGCCUAGAUCGGGUUUGGUUUUUGUGUUCAUAGCCUUAGCACUCAUAAUUUAGUUAAUCUUCAUGAUCUCGUUGCCCAUCUCGCUGGGAUCGAUUACCGGUUAACUUUAAUGGGGUAUGAUACGCAGCUGGCGCUUGUGGAGUUUGCGGUUCCUGUAUUUCAGGCCUUGGGGGCUUUGCUUUUGUUCUUGGGUAUCUUUUUCUUUUUCUUCAGGAAGUGAAAGGAUAUGGUUACUACAAAUUGGAAAAGCUGGGCUUUAACAUGCUUAUUGCUGGACCAGUUCUAUGGGUGCUUGGAUCAAUCCACAACUCGUGUCAAAUAUACGACAGCUGAUGGGCAUGUCCAAAUGUUGCGAGCGAGUGUUCAUAUCCUUUUUUAAUGGGUAGUUUGUUGUUCUUGAUUGGUGCCAUGCUUAAUAGCCAGGAUCAAGCUGGGCUGGACCAUCAUGGGGUACUGCUAUUGGGAAGAAACUUGGUGUUGAUGGGCAUCUUUGGAAGUGUUUUACUAUUAAUUGGGGGAUUAACAAAUGUGGUAAAGUGUCCAAGAUGCGGCAAAUUGAUGGACUGCGCCUGAAGAAACUGCGAGGAGGGGCUCAGGGACGUUUAAUGCAUCAGAAAGAAGGGCAGCUGCCGCUUAUUGCAGAAGAACAAUGGAGGAGGCAAAGGGUAAUCGAGGAAACAAAAGCUGUACCUGUUCCUGUUCCAGUUCCAGUUCCAACUUCUUACAAGGAUGUGCUUCUCGGUCAGACUUGAUUGCUUCACUCAUCUACGAGUGAUCAUCACCGGUCUUCUCUGGUCACUUUGGUGCUAUGUGGCCAUCUCUGAUUUUGCUUCUCUCCUGUUACUCACGAGUUUAGAUAUGAUUGAUAUUCUUGUUUAUCGAGGACAUGUAAGAUUUUGGAUGAUAAUAUAUUGAAUUUCGAUAUAUAAUCAAAUAUUAGACAUUGGAUUUGUGA
Long non-coding RNA from Hevea brasiliensis (rubber tree), 1288 nucleotides. RefSeq lists it as uncharacterized. The transcript has 3 exons. The record is from RefSeq and is a predicted model, not a curated record. Lineage: Eukaryota; Viridiplantae; Streptophyta; Magnoliopsida; Malpighiales; Euphorbiaceae.